UGGGUUUUAGUUUUUGGUUGGGCAUUUUGGCCAGGGUCAAACUUUCUCCUAAUUUCAUUUGGUUCUUGUUACGUACAUAGCUUCUUAUUUUCAAUGCUAGCUUUUCUUAAUAUUUAUGAUACGUGACUUAAAAGAAGGUGAAUAGUGAUAACUUUUUAAAAGAGAGAUAUAAGGUGAAUAGUGAUAACUUUUUAAAGAGAGAUAUAAGGUGAAUAGUAAUAACUUUCUAACAGAAAGAUAUACUUUUCUUGUUUUGAAGUUCUAAUCUUGUACUCCAUAAAUUACUGUGUGCCAAAGAAGGAAAUGAAGUUCCUGUGGCUUGAUCUUGAUCUAUAUUUUAAUAGCUUCUUGUUUCAAUCUAAAAUUUGUUUCAUGAUCGACUUGGGAUGAGUGAAAUCAGGAAGUAAAAUUGCAUGCAUUUGCUUAAUUUUGUCUUCUUUAUUCUGCAUCACCCUUUGUGGAAACUGUUUAACCUUUUACAAUUACUCUAAGAUUGAGUUGUUUUUGGAAAUGCUUUGUAGCUUUGAUCAAUAGUCAGAAUUCUAAAGGUACACAUAUUGGUUGUACACUUGGUUUGACUUUCCUUUCUCCAUCUUCCUGUAGUUCAACUCUAUAGUUUUGAUCAAUAUUCUUUUUGGGUUACAGCAAAUAAAUCCAAUCAUAAAAGCGUCCAAUUGAGAGAAGUGAAAAAGAGCCUCAAGUGCCACAAUGGUAAAUUACUCUGUUUCUUAUUUGUAUUCGAUAAUUUUGCUUUGCUUUGCGCCUUGAAUAUUAUAGGUAAAAUAUAUUUAAUAUUCCAAUUGACCCAGUUUAGAUAAAAAUAUAAAAUAAUUAUCUUAUAUUUUACUAAAAUGUUUGCUAAUACUUUUUCUUUUAAAUUCUUUUGGCAUUUUGGCAUAUAUUGGCUAUGUCGUCUUCUGUAUUACAUGCUAUGCAUCAUGGCAUUUUAGCACACAUUGGCUACCUUGUCCGCUAGCCUACGUCAAUUGCAGUAUAAUGAUGCUAAUUUUGAAGGUUAGCUAGCUGAAAAUUUUUAUGUGAUUUUUGUUUGUAUUUAUGUUGUUGGACACUUUAGUAAGAACAAGAAAGCGAUUGCCUGUGGUUUAUUUAUUUAUAUCAUAUGUUUUCAUUUCUUUUUUACUGGGAGUAGAGCUAUUUUUGCACUCUUUUUUAGUUAUAGAAGCUCUAAAUAAAUUCAAUCAAGAAAGCAUCCAACUGAGAGAAGGGAAAAAGAGCCUCAAGUACCAAAAUGGUAAAUUAUUUCACUUUUUAUUUCUAUUCGAUAAUUCUGCUUUGCGUUUUUUAUCUUAAAUAUUAUGGGUAAAAUGUAUUUAAUAAUCUUAUUGGGUAUAACAAUAAGAUUUUAGUGAUCAUCUUUCUGUAGGGAGUUUUAAUCUUGCCAAUCCUUUUUUUGGCGUUUUGAACACAAAGAUUAGAUCAGAAAACAAAAUAAUUGAAUCUCAGUGUUUGCACCUUUCUCUGUUUUCCUUCUUAUUUUG
RNAcentral lists this long non-coding RNA (1499 nucleotides) under Ricinus communis (castor bean). Its description in RNAcentral is "long non-coding RNA (RCOM_LNC003488)". Lineage: Eukaryota; Viridiplantae; Streptophyta; Magnoliopsida; Malpighiales; Euphorbiaceae. The record is from RNAcentral.